This is a long non-coding RNA of Daphnia pulex (common water flea), 2266 nucleotides long. RefSeq lists it as uncharacterized. The record is from RefSeq and is a predicted model, not a curated record. NCBI's taxonomy places the organism in Eukaryota, Metazoa, Arthropoda, Branchiopoda, Diplostraca, Daphniidae. The transcript has 6 exons.
UUUAUUUGACUUCAUGGACUCAAAUAGCCGGAAGAAUUGACGCUAACGGUAAAAUUCAGCAACGUCAUUUUCUCUGCCAUCUUCGCCAUUGAGAUGUUGCUCAAAGUCAUCGCCGAGGGUCCGCUCAACUACGUCGUCGGCAACGGAUUCAACGUUUUCGAAGGAGUCAUCUUCAUCCUCAGGGUGUUGAUAAUUUUUCUGAAACGGUUUUUGAAUGGCGAGAAAAAUCAAUCACCUAUUGCUUUUCCCAAUAUAUGGCAACCGUUUAAUGACUCGAGAGGCAUCACCCACAACUAUACUCUAUAUGCACACAUUACUCAUUUUGGUAGAUUCGGUAAAAAACGGUCGAUUCUGGUAACGCCGGUUUCAAAAUUUUUAUUCUUAAAUAAAAUGAAUUAGUUUUGAAAAGCUAGAAUUUCCCAAAAAAAUUUUCCCUCAAACGACAACCAGGUCGGUGGUCUCGUUGGCGUAUUCCUCAGUCCAGCUAUUGUUCACUGUUGCACCGUGUUAUUUGAACUCCCGCCAUUAAUUCUCACGUUGGACACUGCAGUUUACACAGACUACAUUUUUUUUCCAAACAUGUCUCAAGAACAUCCCGAGGCCGAGACGGUACUCAACUCAUUCUCUUCGGAUCUAUCGUACUCGUCGUUGCCGUCGUUGAAGAUAGAGACGGAAACGCCAACGGUGACGGAGCGGUCGUUCGGCUUGUUUACCAUCAAUUGUGAGUUGCUUGCUCCACCGGCUUCGAAGACUGUCACCUUUAUUUGUCGUUUUAACGGUAAGCAUCAGCCACUGAAGAAAACUUCUACGUACGAAAUAACUCUUAAUCGCUCUACAAGUGCUUUGGGGUCCGUAAACUGGUUUCGACUAACUUGCUGUGCUCCAAUGAACGAUAUAGCUACCACUCCCAAUUGCCUUCCACGUUUCGUGAACUUGGACGACGGUGACGGUAAAAUUUUAGAUGUAUCACCUACGAGCGGUACAUUCACGCAUUGAGGAACAACUUUUAGAGCUGUCAAGAUAAACAAGACAAGAACUUUGCGAUGAUGUGACGUUUAAAUUUCCCUGUGGUAGCUUGUAAAAGGCCCACAAGGUCGUUUUGCGUCUCAAUAUCGAGUACUUCCAAGCUUUGUUUCGCAGCAACUAUAGGGAGUAGUUGACGGGUGAAGUCUCCGUUAUCGACAUCCCUUACCAACUCUUUGUGGACGUGGUUCGUAGUCUGACACGACAUAACUUUUAAUACCCAGAUUUUACUUUUAACGCUAGAAAGCGUGGUAACUUACUUAUCCGUUUCCAUCAUGGCAGGUGAUGCUAAAUCCAAGCAAGGCGGGCCAUCCGGCUCUACUUCAACUGAUGCUUCUUCCCCUCCCAAUGCUGACUCCGUUCACGUGAACAUACCUGAACCCCCACUACGCUACAAUACAGCUUUCUGAGUAUAAUGACAGUAACCGCCUUUGGCGGACUGACUGGGGACUGACUGGUUGAGGGCUGGGCAUCAGCAUCUUUCAUUGCGCUUUCUUGGUGUUCCAGAUGGUGAUAUGUGCCUACAUCACCUUGAUCAACAUGGAUGAAAGAGCCCAUCAACCAAAAUUUCUACCACUGGCUACUAUCCUCAUUCUGUUCACAUCAAUUAAUCUGUUUUUUUUUCUGGUGUGACCGGAACAAUGGUAAGGGAGGGGAUAUUUUUCGCUGCUCGGACUUAAGUUGACCAAUGUUUUGUUCCCCAAAAAUCCAAAAAUUUGGCUUGUCUUUUUUUUCGUCUCUCCUUUUAACUUGUCUCUUUCUCUCUUGUCUCUUUUUUUCUUUUCUUUCAUGUUUCGUACACAUUGUUAUUUUUCCUUGUCUCUUGCAUUAAACAAGCAUUAAAUAUCUAAUAUUAUACUAAUAUCUAAUAUAUAACGAGGUCGUGCCAAGAGUGCAGAGGUACUUAAAACGGAGUUGGCCACACCACCAAGCUCCACAAAGUAAAAUGUUCAAUAAGUUGUUUGGCUUAUAUUUAAAUUGAAUUUUAAAAUGUUUUCCUUCUUUAGGACCUCCACUAGAGAUGUGGCGCAUCAUCUAUCUGUCCCAGAAGGCAUGAUCACGCGUAGUAAGGCUCGGGCUCGUGCUCACAGUGGAAUUUAAAAUCAUUUUUCAUUUCAUUCUUCAUUUUUUCACUCACUUCCCAUUUUCUACAAUAAUAAUAAUUGUUUGUUUUACCAAUUUGGUUUCAUAUCUUUGUUUGAUUUGAUCUAAUAUUCAGCAUUCAAUAAAUCAUUACCAAACG